CGCUAGUAAUCGCGGAUCAGAAUGCCGCGGUGAAUACGUUCCCGGGUCUUGUACACACCGCCCGUCACACCAUGGGAGUCGGAAAUGCCCGAAGUCUGUGACCCAACCAUUAAGGAGGGAGCAGCCGAAGGCAGGUCGGAUGACUGGGGUGAAGUCGUAACAAGGUAAC
RNAcentral lists this ribosomal RNA (169 nucleotides) under uncultured bacterium. Its description in RNAcentral is "partial 16S ribosomal RNA". It matches the Rfam family "Bacterial small subunit ribosomal RNA", at positions 1333 to 1500 of the family's 1533-position model. The record is from RNAcentral.